Molecule: ribosomal RNA, 497 nt
Filed under: uncultured bacterium
Lineage: Bacteria
Description: partial 16S ribosomal RNA
Rfam family: Bacterial small subunit ribosomal RNA
Source: RNAcentral
GACGAACGCUGGCGGCGUGCCUAAUACAUGCAAGUUGAGCGAUGAAGCUUGGUGCUUGCUCCAAUUUGAAGAGCAGCGAACGGGUGAGUAACGCGUGGGGAAUCUGCCUUUGAGCGGGGGACAACAUUUGGAAACGAAUGCUAAUACCGCAUAACAACUUUAAACAUAAGUUUUAAGUUUGAAAGAUGCAAUUGCAUCACUCAAAGAUGAUCCCGCGUUGUAUUAGCUAGUUGGUGAGGUAAAGGCUCACCAAGGCGAUGAUACAUAGCCGACCUGAGAGGGUGGUCGGCCACAUUGGGACUGAGACACGGCCCAAACUCCUACGGGAGGCAGCAGGAGGGAAUCUUCGGCAAUGGACGAAAGUCUGACCGAGCAACGCCGGGUGAGGGAAGAAGGUUUUCGGAUCGGAAAACUCUGUUGGUAGGGAAGAACGUUGGUGAGAGUGGAAAGCGCAUCAAGUGACGGUAACUACCCAGAAAGGGACGGCUAACUACGUG